RNAcentral lists this long non-coding RNA (1624 nucleotides) under Theobroma cacao (cacao). RNAcentral's name for it is "long non-coding RNA (TCAC_LNC000382)". The record is from RNAcentral. Lineage: Eukaryota; Viridiplantae; Streptophyta; Magnoliopsida; Malvales; Malvaceae.
AAAAAGAAGAAAAGGACAAUUGUUGUCCUCUUUGCUAACACAAAGUAUAGUUAAAAAAUUCUCUUUUUUGUUGAAGGUUCAUGUGCAAUUGUGUGUACUACAGUUGGAGGCUAAAUACUUGAUUGGCUAGUGUUUUUGCUUCUUGUGGUGUUUGCGGAAUUGCUUCAGGAAGUGCCAUUGUGAUUACAAAAUUACUUGGCAAGGUAACUUUCUAAAUAAUAAUUAAUUUUGUUCUUUUAUGUGUUAAAUACCACCCAGAUGAUCCAUGGGUGGAGGCAUGUUUUGGUUAUUUAGUUCUAAAUUUUUUAUUUUCUUUCCGCUGCGUAUUUUGAGCAUGCCAUCCAUAACCAAACCCAUCAGACUAUGCGUCUCUUAUAGUCGACUAUGGUUUCUUAAAGUUGACUUUUUCUAUCAUGACCCGGUACUCUCCUCGAUCCCGUGACAACCGUCGCGAUGUUUCGAUAGACAUUCAUUACCCAAAAUGCCAACUGAAACCCCGCAAGGCUUUAAUAUCAGUUUUCGCACCUCCCCUAUGAGCAACAAUUGUUAAGUAUCAUGUUUUGAGAGAUUAUAAAUUAUUUCCAAAUCAAAACAAUAGAAAAAUAAUUUUUUUCUCACAGGGGCAUUUUAGUCAUUUUUCCUCUAAAAUCUCGAAACCAGUUAAAAAUGUAGUAUGCAAGUGGAAAACACAUAUUUCAUAAUCAAAAAUAAGUUUAGAUAUCUAAAACAUUCAUUUAAAGUGAAAUUAUACCUAUUUGAAUAUAAUAAAAAUAUUCAAUAAAAUAUUCUAUUUUCUUAUAAAAUAAUAUUUAUAGAGUUACCGGUAAAUAAUUUUUGUAACGUAAAAGCUAAAUAAAUUCAUACAUACUACAAUACAGAUAACCAAAGCAUAAGAUUUAAUUUACAGUGACACGUGGGCUCAUGAACAACCAAAAGUAUCAAAAGCGGUAAACUUACAGUUUUUGAGGAUGCAAGUCCAACUAUGUACCUAAAUAAAACGGUAUUGGCCUAAUUCGAUCUAUCACCCGAUUAAUUAGCCAAUACGUCCAAUUCAACUCCAAAUAAUUCUAUUUUUCUCUCAAUACUCCAAAUCAUCAAACACAAAUUAAAUAACUUGAAAUAUGACAAAAUCAUCCUCACAUUUUCUCUUGAAAAAUUUGGCCAUGGUGGGUGCAUCAAUACUAUGAUUUUUCCUACUUGAUUCUCACACCAUAAAUCACUAAUUUCUAACCAAAUCACUUGAAAUAAAAUCAAAAUCAUUAUUAAUAUUCCACAUGGAGAAUUCGGCCAAUGAUGGUGAUGGGAGAAAAUGAAUUUUUCUUGCUUGAUUUUCAUGCUACACAUCACCAAUCAACUAAAAACACUAAAAUACAUUGAAAUCUAACCAAAUCAAGCAUCAAAAACUCUCUCUAAGUGUUCAACCAGCAAGAUACCCAUCAUGAAAUCAUGUGAUUCAACCAUGGAAAAUGCAAAAGAAUGUAUGGGAAAGGUAGAUCACAAGUCAAAAUCAAGAAAUUUUACCUUUGAUUGCUUGAUUACUUGAAAUCCACUAAUUUUUCUCUUGAAUUUUCACCCUAGGGUUCUUUUUCUUUCUUUUCUUCCUUUGUUCUUGCUUUGGCUGGCC